UCGAGAAUCUUCCGCAAUGGGCGAAAGCCUGACGGAGCGACGCCGCGUGCGGGAUGAAGGCCUUCGGGUUGUAAACCGCUGUCAGAGGGGAGGAAAUUUUGACCGAUCCUCAGAGGAAGCACAGGCUAAGUUCGUGCCAGCAGCCGCGGUAAUACGAACUGUGCAAACGUUAUUCGGAAUCACUGGGCUUAAAGGGUGCGUAGGCGGGUUUAAAGGUCUGAUGUGAAAGCCCACGGCUCAACCGUGGAAUUGCGUUGGAAACCAUGAACCUUGAGGGAGUCAGAGGUAAGCGGAACUGAUGGUGGAGCGGUGAAAUGCGUUGAUAUCAUCAGGAACACCGGUGGCGAAAGCGGCUUACUGGGACUCUUCUGACGCUGAGGCACGAAAGCUAGGGGAGUGAACGGGAUUAGAUACCCGCGUAGUCC
Molecule: ribosomal RNA, 425 nt
Filed under: uncultured prokaryote
Description: bacterial SSU rRNA
Rfam family: Bacterial small subunit ribosomal RNA
Source: RNAcentral